This 505-nucleotide ribosomal RNA is filed under the name uncultured bacterium. Its description in RNAcentral is "partial 16S ribosomal RNA". It matches the Rfam family "Bacterial small subunit ribosomal RNA", at positions 29 to 523 of the family's 1533-position model. The record is from RNAcentral.
AACGAACGCUGGCGGCGUGUCUUAAGCAUGCAAGUCGUGCGGCAAGGGGUAGCAAUACCCCCUAGAGCGGCGGACUGGUGAGUAACGCGUGGGUGAUCUGCCCUUGGGUUGGGGAUAGCCAUUAGAAAUAGUGGGUAAUACCGAAUACGUUCGCCGGGCUAUGGCCUGGCGAGGAAAAGCGCUUCGGCGCUGCCCGAGGAUGAGCCCGCGUCCCAUUAGCUAGUUGGUGAGGUAACGGCCCACCAGGGCGAUGAUGGGUAGCCGGCCUGAGAGGGUGUACGGCCACACAGGGACUGAGAUACGGCCCAGACUCCUACGGGAGGCAGCAGCUAAGAAUAUUCCGCAAUGGACGAAAGUCUGACGGAGCGACGCCGCGUGGACGAUGAAGGCCGAAAGGUUGUAAAGUCCUUUUGUCGGGGAAGAAUAACCAUGGGAGGGAAUGCCCGUGGGAUGACAUGAACCGACGAAUAAGCCCCGGCUAACUACGUGCCAGCAGCCGCAGUAA